CUGGCAACUGAUACUCUCAAUCUGGCUUGCAGACAGAAAGGCAGUGUGGAAGUGUCUUCAUGAAGGAAACCAACUUUGGAGCUGCCUGGGAAUUGGAUCAUCUUUAAGAAGAGGUUGAGGGAAUCUAAAGAGUCAGAAUUAUUCCUUCUACCAUCUCCUGGGGGAGGAAGGAAGAUAUACCUUGGAGGAAAUAUACUGUUGCCCACAAUCAGAGAAACAAAUCAGAAGCUUACAUAUCUAGAAGACUCAGCUAAAAUACUGCCUCCUCUACCAUAAAACUGUCCCCAACAACCCCAGCUGAAAGUGACCUCUCUUCACUAUGAACUCUUUAGGUUUCUCCCUCCUUCGUGAUGCAUUGCUGAUACAGAAUCCUAAGGAGAAAGCCUCCCAAUCCAGCCCCACUCUAAAUCAGGUAGGUUACCAAAAUGGAAACUAA
RNAcentral lists this long non-coding RNA (436 nucleotides) under Monodelphis domestica (gray short-tailed opossum). RNAcentral describes it as "lncRNA (ENSMODG00000049561.1)". The record is from RNAcentral. Lineage: Eukaryota; Metazoa; Chordata; Mammalia; Didelphimorphia; Didelphidae.